UUUCUUCGCCGGCAUGGGCGCGGCGGUGGGCGGUGGCAACACCUGGACACGGCGGCGGCAGAAAGCAAGAAGAAGCGUAGCAGACCUCCUCCCAUCUCUGCCUGCAUGAACUGCUUCUUCGUGCAUUCAGUGAAUAUGCAGAAAGAUAUCAAGCAUAAAAACUGAAUAUUUCAGUUAGUAUGUUGUUGCAUUCUGAACAUAUACAUAGCAACAUCACCUUGGC
Molecule: long non-coding RNA, 223 nt
Filed under: Setaria italica (foxtail millet)
Lineage: Eukaryota; Viridiplantae; Streptophyta; Magnoliopsida; Poales; Poaceae
Description: long non-coding RNA (SITA_LNC004658)
Source: RNAcentral